RNAcentral lists this ribosomal RNA (253 nucleotides) under uncultured bacterium. RNAcentral's name for it is "partial 16S ribosomal RNA". It matches the Rfam family "Bacterial small subunit ribosomal RNA", at positions 524 to 776 of the family's 1533-position model. The record is from RNAcentral.
UACGAAGGGGGCUAGCGUUGCUCGGAAUUACUGGGCGUAAAGGGAGCGUAGGCGGACUGUUUAGUCAGAGGUGAAAGCCCAGGGCUCAACCUUGGAAUAGCCUUUGAUACUGGCAGUCUUGAGUACGGAAGAGGUAUGUGGAACUCCGAGUGUAGAGGUGAAAUUCGUAGAUAUUCGGAGGAACACCAGUGGCGAAGGCGACAUACUGGUCCGUUACUGACGCUGAGGCUCGAAAGCGUGGGGAGCAAACAGG